This 484-nucleotide ribosomal RNA is filed under the name uncultured bacterium. Its description in RNAcentral is "partial 16S ribosomal RNA". It matches the Rfam family "Bacterial small subunit ribosomal RNA", at positions 29 to 507 of the family's 1533-position model. The record is from RNAcentral.
AUUGAACGCUGGCGGCAUGCUUUACACAUGCAAGUCGAACGGCAGUGCGGGCUUCGGCCUGGCGGCGAGUGGCGAACGGGUGAGUAAUACAUCGGAACGUGCCCAGUAGUGGGGGAUAGCUCGGCGAAAGCCGGAUUAAUACCGCAUACGACCUGAGGGUGAAAGCGGGGGAUCUUCGGACCUCGCGCUAUUGGAGCGGCCGAUGGCAGAUUAGCUAGUUGGUGGGGUAAAGGCCUACCAAGGCGACGAUCUGUAGCUGGUCUGAGAGGACGACCAGCCACACUGGGACUGAGACACGGCCCAGACUCCUACGGGAGGCAGCAGUGGGGAAUUUUGGACAAUGGGCGAAAGCCUGAUCCAGCAAUGCCGCGUGUGUGAUGAAGGCCUUCGGGUUGUAAAGCACUUUUGGCGGGAACGAAAAGGACUGUGCCAAUACCACGGUUCGAUGACGGUACCCGCAGAAUAAGCACCGGCUAACUAUGUG